CCUACGUGAGGCUGCAGUGGGGAAUAUUGGACAAUGGGCGAAAGCCUGAUCCAGCCAUGCCGCGUGUGUGAAGAAGGCCUUCGGGUUGUAAAGCACUUUCAGCGGGGAAGAAAGCCUUGGGGCUAAUACCCUCGAGGAAGGACAUUACCCACAGAAGAAGCACCGGCUAACUCCGUGCCAGCAGCCGCGGUAAUACGGAGGGUGCGAGCGUUAAUCGGAAUUACUGGGCGUAAAGCGCGCGUAGGCGGUCUGAUAAGCCGGUUGUGAAAGCCCCGGGCUCAACCUGGGAACGGCAUCCGGAACUGUCAGACUAGAGUGCAGGAGAGGUAGGUAGAAUUCCCGGUGUAGCGGUGAAAUGCGUAGAGAUCGGGAGGAAUACCAGUGGCGAAGGCGGCCUUCUGGACUGACACUGACGCUGAGGUGCGAAAGCGUGGGUAGCAAACAGGAUUAGAUACCCCAGUAGUC
RNAcentral lists this ribosomal RNA (465 nucleotides) under Vreelandella stevensii. RNAcentral's name for it is "partial 16S ribosomal RNA". It matches the Rfam family "Bacterial small subunit ribosomal RNA", at positions 338 to 795 of the family's 1533-position model. The record is from RNAcentral. Lineage: Bacteria; Pseudomonadati; Pseudomonadota; Gammaproteobacteria; Oceanospirillales; Halomonadaceae.